RNAcentral lists this ribosomal RNA (674 nucleotides) under uncultured fungus. RNAcentral describes it as "eukaryotic LSU rRNA". It matches the Rfam family "Eukaryotic large subunit ribosomal RNA", at positions 24 to 664 of the family's 3401-position model. The record is from RNAcentral. Lineage: Eukaryota; Fungi.
CCCGCUGAACUUAAGCAUAUCAAUAAGCGGAGGAAAAGAAACUAACAAGGAUUCCCCUAGUAACUGCGAGUGAAGCGGGAAAAGCUCAAAUUUAAAAUCUGAUGGUCUUUGGCCAUCCGAGUUGUAAUUUAGAGAAGCGUCUUCCGCGCUGGACCCAUGCACAAGUCUCCUGGAAUGGAGCGUCAUAGAGGGUGAGAAUCCCGUCUUUGGCAUGGAAUCCCCAUGGCUCUUGUGAUGCGCUCUCGACGAGUCGAGUUGGUUGGGAAUGCAGCUCAAAAUGGGUGGGGAACUCCAUCUAAAGCUAAAUAUUGGCGAGAGACCCAUAGCGAACAAGUACCGUGAGGGAAAGAUGAAAAGCACUUUGGAAAGAGAGUGAAACAGUACGUGAAAUUGUUGAAAGGGAAACGCUUGAAGUCAGUCGCGUCGACCGAGACUCAGCCUUGCCUCGGCUUGGUCGUACUUCUCGGCUGAAGGGUCAGCAUAGAUUUCGAUCCUUGGAUAAUGGCGAGGGAAAGGUAGCACCUUUUUUUAGGUGCGUUAUAGUCCUUUGUCGCAUCUCGAGGGUCGGGAUUGAGGAACUCAGCAUGCACUCUCAGGGUGUCGGGGCCUUGGCCCACGUUUCCGUGCUUAGGAUGCUGGCGUAAUGGCUUUAAACGACCCGUCUUGAAACACGG